This 1420-nucleotide ribosomal RNA is filed under the name Hyloxalus picachos. RNAcentral describes it as "partial 16S ribosomal RNA". It matches the Rfam family "Bacterial large subunit ribosomal RNA", at positions 269 to 2597 of the family's 2925-position model. Lineage: Eukaryota; Metazoa; Chordata; Amphibia; Anura; Dendrobatidae. The record is from RNAcentral.
CUAAACAUCUAGCCCCACCCUCCCCUUAUUCUAACCCUUUAUUUACUUCCCACCAUACUAAAACAUUCUAUCAAUCUAGUAAAGGCGAUUAAAAAAUUCAUCGGAGCAAUAAAUUCAGUACCGCAAGGGAAAAAUGAAAUAGAGCUGAAACAGCCUUUAAGCACAAAAAAGUAGAGCUUAUCUCUCGUACCUUUUGCAUCAUGAUUUAACUAGUCUAACCAAGCAGAAAGAUUUUUAGUUUGACUUCCCGAACCUUGGCGAGCUACCUUAAGACAGCUUUUUGAGCUCAUCCAUCUCUGUUGCAAAAGAGUGGAGUGAUCUUAAGGUAGAGGUGACAGACCAAACGAGCCUAGUGAUAGCUGGUUGCUCAUGAAAAGGAUUUUAGUCCAGCUUAAAGACUUUUUGUAUUACAAAACCUCGUCUUUAAAGUAAUUCAAGUAAGGUACAGCCUACUUGAAAAAGGAUACAACCUCCACUUUUGGGUUAUUAAUUUCUACGCUGUGGAAAAGUAGGCCUAAGAGCAGCCACCUUGAACAAAAGCGUCAAAGCUUUAUCACAUCUUCAAAUAAUCCCAUUAUUUCCAUUUAACCCCUUAUUUUUAAAGAGCAGCUCUAUACUCAUAUAGAAAAUUUCAUGUUAAAACUAGUAAUUAGAAGAAAACCUUCUCCUUAAUGCAAGUGUACAUCAGCAAGGAUACCCCACUGAUCCUUAACACUCAUAAUAAUGAAGUAACAACUCCUCAAGAAAAUCUUACUUCCACCCUCGUUACCCUAACACAAGAGCAUUUUAGGAAAGAUUAAAAGAAAAAGAAGGAACUCGGCAAAUUUUAGCCUCGCCUGUUUACCAAAAACAUCGCCUCCCGAUACCUAUGGGAGGUCCAGCCUGCCCAGUGACAUUGUUCAACGGCCGCGGUAUCCUAACCGUGCGAAGGUAGCGUAAUCACUUGUUCUUUAAAUGAGGACUAGUAUGAAUGGCUCCACGAAGGCUAUACUGUCUCCUUUUUCUAAUCAACGAAACUAAUCUUCCCGUGAAGAAGCGGGAAUCUCCCUAUAAGACGAGAAGACCCUAUGGAGCUUUAAACAAUCGAAAUACUUGCUUCUAUAACUCACAUUUUCUGAAUUAACAAUUUAGCCUAGCAUUUUAUUUCUAGUUUUAGGUUGGGGUGACCAUGGAGAACAAAAUAACCUCCACGCUGAAAGAGAAUUCACCUCUAAGCACCAAGCCUCAGCUUAGUGUAUCAAUAAUUUGACUACCAUUGACCCAAUUAUUUGACCAACGAACCAAGUUACCCUAGGGAUAACAGCGCAAUCUAUUUCAAGAGCUCAUAUCGACAAAUAGGUUUACGACCUCGAUGUUGGAUCAGGGUAUCCCAGUGGUGCAGCCGCUACUAAUGGUUCGUUCGUUCAACGAUUAAAACCCU